RNAcentral lists this ribosomal RNA (322 nucleotides) under uncultured eukaryote. RNAcentral describes it as "partial 18S ribosomal RNA". It matches the Rfam family "Eukaryotic small subunit ribosomal RNA", at positions 1470 to 1796 of the family's 1831-position model. The record is from RNAcentral.
CCCUUAGAUGUCCUGGGCCGCACGCGCACUACACUGACAUGUUCAACAAGUUUCUCCUAGUUCGACAGGACUGGGAAAUCUUUGAACGCAUGUCGUGAUAGGGAUAGAUCAUUGCAAUUAUUGAUCUUGAACGAGGAAUUCCUAGUAAACGCGAGUCAUCAGCUCGCAUUGAUUACGUCCCUGCCCUUUGUACACACCGCCCGUCGCACCUACCGAUUGAAUGUUUCGGUGAAGAUUCCGGAUAGGACUGAUUUGAUUUAUUUCAUUUCUGACCUAAAAGCUAUCUAAACCUCAACAUUUAGAGGAAGGUGAAGUCGUAACA